RNAcentral lists this long non-coding RNA (13674 nucleotides) under Solanum lycopersicum (tomato). RNAcentral's name for it is "long non-coding RNA (SLYC_LNC000739)". Lineage: Eukaryota; Viridiplantae; Streptophyta; Magnoliopsida; Solanales; Solanaceae. The record is from RNAcentral.
AUUCACUCUCCCUCACUCUCAAACACUAUACGCCCUUAGCCGGAAACGUUGCUUGUCCACUAGAUACAAACGGAUAUCCUGAGUUACGUUAUGUGACAGGAGAUUCUGUGUCUGUUACUUUUUUCGAGACUGAUAUGAAUUUCAAUUAUCUCAUUGGUGACCAUCCGCGUAAGGCUAAGGAUUUUUAUCACUUUGUUCCUAAGUUAGGGGAACCUAAGGAUGCACCGGGGGUCCAACUAGCCCCGCUCUUAGCCAUUCAGGUGACACUUUUUCCGAAUCUUGGUGUAUCCAUUGGUUUCACUAACCAUCAUGUUGUUGGUGAUGGAGCUACUAUAGCAGGGUUCAUUAAGGCGUGGGCUCUACUCCACAAAUUCGGUGGACAUGAACAAUUCUUAUCGAAUGAGCUAAUUCCAUUUUAUGAUAGGUCCGUAGUAAAAGACCCAUAUGGACAAGGGAUGUCCAUCUGGGAAGAAAUGAAAAGCAAGAAUCUAGAUAUGCGUGACGUUAUGACUCCUCCUCCUGAACACAAGGUUCGAGGUACAUUUACUAUUAAAAGAGAUGAAAUAGAGAAACUGAAGAAUUUUAUAUUGAACUCAAGAAGACGGGGUAGUAGUAGUACUACUCUAACUCAUGUAACAUCUUUUACUGUAACGAGUGCUUAUAUAUGGACUUGUUUGAUAAAAUCAGAGGACGCGAUAGGAGAAGAGAUGAUCAUAGAUGAUAGUGUAAUGGAAUGUUUCGGAUGUGCAGCAGAUUUUAGAGCGCGAUUCAAUCCACCACUUCCUCAAUCUUAUUUUGGGAAUUGCAUAGUUGGGUAUGUCACAAAAUCAAUAAGGCAUGUUGACUUAGUUGGAAGGGAAGGGUUUAAAAUUGCGGUAGAAUCAAUUGGAGAAGUCAUUCAAGAAAAAAUGAAGGAUGAUGAAUGGGUCCUUAAUGGUGAUUGGUUAAAAGUAUACGACAAUGUAGAUGUGAUUCGAUCAUUUUCAAUUGCUGGAUCGCAAAAACAUGACUUAUAUGCUGCUGAUUUUGGAUGGGGAAGAGCCGCAAAGUUGGAAUUCAUUUCCAUUGACAAUGAUGAUGGCGGUAUUUCGAUGUCUCUUAGUAAAUCUAAAGAUUUUGAUGGAGAUUUAGAGAUUGGUUUGUGUUUGUCUAAAACUCGAAUGAAUGCUUUUGCUUCUAUAUUCACUCACGAGCUUAGCUUUCUAUGCCAAGUCUGAGUACCAAUAAAAAGAGACAUAAAGACUAUCCUCUAGUUGUGUUGUAAUAAUACUUCUCCAAGUAAGAAUCCUUCUCAAAUUGUUAUUUGUGCAUCUUGAUCAUCAUGUCAUCCAUGACUUUAUUAUUCAAUGGUUUAUGUUAGUUCUUUCUAUAUUAAAUAUGAUAAAUUAUCGUGGACAUGAUCUUACAUAAAAAGAUGUGAUGGUCAUAUAAUAGCAGAAGGUUAUUAAUAGUACCGAUAUACAUGACAUGGGUUGGUUCAGAUUUUUUAAAAGAGAAUUUCAUACAAAUCCUAUUGCCUUGAGAGAUUAUAAAAAUCACUGAAAUUUGGUUGAAUCUGUAUACAUCUCAAAACACCCUGAUACAUCUCUCAAUGUUCCAAUGCAUUAAGUUUUGAUUUCGGAUACAACACUCAACCUUUGGAUGCAUUGCUUACGUCGUGAUACAUCACGUGAAGUGAUGUAUCUGACCGAUAGGAGAGAGUAGGGAUUUUUCAAUUUUUUUUUUAAAUUGUAGGAAAUUUUAGAGAAUAUGGUAAGCUAAGUUGUAUAGUUAGGUAAUUUUUCCCUUUUAAAUACCAAAUCGAACCAUUUGAGGCGCAUUUUGAAUCUAUAAAUAAAAAAAACUAAUAAAAUUCAGAUUUUUCGACCUCAAAUUUUUUAAAAAGUUUUUUCCUCGAUAAAGUAUGAAUACGAACAUGACUUUUAUGCAGUCGAUUUUAAUUGGGGAAGGACUGAGAAAUUAGAGAUUUAGAAAUUGUAUCAGUUACGUAAUUAAUAAAAUUACUGUGAAUCCGAAGCCUAAAGGCAAAAAAAAAAGUUAAAGAUUCUAAAGGGGUAUAUCAAAUAAAAAAAUUAUAUCAAAAGGGCAAAAUCGCUAUGUCAUAUUUUGACAUUGUUAAGUCUGUUAAAUGUUCAAAAUCGCUGACGUACCAGCGAUUGUGGCGAAAUUUUUUAUCCAAAGAAAAUCAUUGCAUGGGCAGCAUUUUUGAUAAAAAAAUUUUUAUAAAAAUAAAAUCGUUGUAGCUGCAGCAUUUUAUUUUUUUUUGAAAUCACUGACUAAGCAGCGGUUUAAGUGAGAAUUUUAUUUUUGAGAAAAUGGCAGCAAUUUCUGUGAAUUUGUUUUCCUUUUUCUAAAAAAUCUUGGCAGCUAUUUUAGUGAACUAAUUUUUAUCAAAAUAUUGCUGCCAAUUUUUUUUUUUAAAAAAAUUUUAUUAAAUGUUGGUGAAUUAAUUUUAAAAAAUAAUUAUACGAUUUUUAAAAAAAAUUGGCUAUGAUUUAUUUUUUAGAAAAAACUUCCACCAAGCAACGACUUUUUAUAAUUAAAAUUCACUAAAACGCUGCCUUGGCAGAAAUUUUUUAGUUAAUAUAAAUGUUGCAAUUGCAGUGAUUUUAAAAAAUAUAUAUAUACAAUAAUUUGGAAUUUUUUUUUAAAAAAAAUCAUUUAGAGAAAUCUUUACUAAAAAUUGUAAUGCAAUUUUUAUUUUGAUCAAUAUUAAAAAAGAAAAAUCACCACCAUUUAAUACGACUUUUUAUUUAAAAAAUUGGCAACAUUUUUAUUAAAAAGAAAAAUUUACUAGAAGCGAUUUUUUUUAAUUUAAAAGAAUUUUUCAUUAAAAUGCUGAUUUUAAUUAUUUUUUAAAAAAAUUAUCCACAUUAAAUAAUUUAUUUAAAAAUAAUUGGCAGCUAUGUUUUUUAAAAAAUACUUUACUUUAAUAGCUUCCAAGGAAGUGAUCUUUAAAAAAAGAAAAAAACAUUUCCACAAUAAUCGCUUCCAUGAUAGCGAUUUUAUUUUUUAAAAAAUAUCCCACUAAAAUUGCUGCUCAGGCAACAAUUUUCUUUUUAAAAAAUAUAAACAAAAUCGCUGAUAGGUCAGCGAUUUUGAGACUUAACGGCGUGAAAAUAAAAUCACUACUUUAGUAGCGAUUUACCGGUUUGGCUAAAAAAGAAAUUGAUGUAACCCUUUGAAAUUUUUGAUAUUAUUUUUUACCCUUUACACUUCGAAUUCAAAUUAUUGUCAUAAUAAUCUUCUAGAGCCGUCAAUAUGAACUUGGCCUAGUGAUCCAGCCUGACCUAACUCGAAAUUUAAUAGGGUUGGGCUACGAUUUUUGGAGCCCAUUUUUUAAAAAAAAUUUUAGUCCGACCUGAAUAAGCCUGCUGAUUUGUGGGGCUUGAGAAAUAUCGGUAGGACAGACCCCUGGGCCAAUAAAAUUAAUUUAAAAUGUAGCAUAAUAUUAAAAUUUAAAAUUAAAGAGAGUUCAAACUCAAAACAAUUAGGUUAUAUUAAGUUCACCAUCAGCUCACACAUCAUAACAUUUAUUAUUCUAUUACCUACUUAAUUUUUUUUUAAUAUAUGCUCCUGUUUAAUUUUAUUGAUACCUACUCUUUUUUGUUGGUUAUAUUUUACAUUUUUAAUAACAUAUAUGUUCAAUAAUUAUUUUCUUAAUGAAUGCUUCAGAGUCAAACAAUAACAAGUAAAAAUAAAUCGGGAAAAUAGUAUACUAUAAAAGUAAAAUAUAAAAAAUCUACCUAGAAUCUUCAGGUUAUUUAGAUAUUUAUACUUUUAUAAAAAAAAAACUUAAUAAAUAUUAUAAAGAAAAUUUAAUUUGUGAAAUUGAUUAAAAAAUAGUAAUAUUAACAUCAUGUAAUAUUUUUUGUCGAUAUUUAUGAUAAUAUUUUGAAUUAUAAUUUAUAAUUUAAUUUAAUAAUUCUAAAAAUAAUAUAAUUUUUAAAAAAGUGACUGACCCGACAAGCAUGUGGCCCACGUAUUUGUGGGUUAGGCUGACCGUUUUCUGGCUCACAGCAAAAAAUAGGCUAGCUAGACCUGACCCGUUAAAUAUUGAAGCCAGUAUAAAUUAGCCCGUAUGGAAUAGACUAGUCCAUAUUGACAGCUCUUAUAAUUUUCAUAUCAAAUCACAGGGAUGUGAUAUAAAUAGAAAUGGAAAUACAUAUUAAUAAAAUAAUUAUUUACUAUGUAAUAGAAGUGUAUUUCACAAGUUUGUAUGCAAUAUAUAAUUUCUUCUUUGAGUUAUCAUAAUCAUGGGAAAGAAGCUACUAAGCUACGAGACAUAUUUAUAAGAUUUGGAUAAUCUUUCUUUCUUUAAAAUUUAAAAUUUAAUUUCUCACAUUAGUGAAAUGAGAUAAGAUUAAAACUUAAUUAAUAUAAUCGGACCAACUAUAAAUAAAUUAAUUUAAUUUUUGAAAUUUGUUGACAUAUUAUUGUUGACUAAUUUUUCUAGAGAGAUCUAAAACAUCUAGAAUCGCAAUUUCUAGUUUAAAAAAACAUGGCAGAUUUGAUGUGCCUCUGGUAGGCCAUAAUUCAAAAUCAGCCACAUAUGUACAAAAGUCGCCCAGUGCAAUUAUACAUUUUGAAAUUUUUGAUUCCGUCAUUAUCUGAGGUGGUUUAGACCUCUACAUAUGAAUUUACGUAAAAUUAAUAAUUUUUAUCUAAAUAAUAUAUAUAUAUAUAUAUAAGAAUUUAUGAAUAUUUUACUAUAAAUCUAAGUUACUAUAUUAUAAUAUGAACUUCAUAUUAAUUUAAAAAGAAAAAUAUAAAGUCACCAUUGAAAUUGUCUCGAAUUUUUAAAAAGAAACUUUAACUUUACAAUCGUCCUAUUAUCCCACUAAACAAUUUUGAAUAGAUAUAAUUACAUCAUUUUUCGUCUAUCUAACAAGAAAAUGGUGUGCAAUCUCUCAAAGAGAGUGAGCACCUUAAAAUAACUAAUAUAAUUGUAUUUUUACAAGUAUUUUGUUAUAAAAUAUAUUUUCUUAAUUUUCUUAUUAUUUUAACUUUUUUUUCCUUUUUAUUUUUUCUCUUUUUUUCUUCUUUCUUUUCAAAAAUUGAUUUUCAUCACCAUCAAUUGAAAUUUUUUACUUUCAAUGUCAUUUUUACCAUAACUUUACUUUCUGCUUUUUUAUUACUAUUAGUUUUACUCUCUUUAGUUUUAAAUUUUUAUCUAAAUAUGUUAUUACAUUUUGGACAAUUCGAUAAACUCAUUAGAUUUGAAGAUGAUUAGAAAGUAUCAUAUAGUAUUUUUAUUCGAUUUCAAUUAAGUUCUUUCAAUUUUCGAGAAAUUAAUUGAUUCUUUUAAAAUUUUCAUUUCUAAUUUUGAAUGUAUGUAAAAAUGUCACGACCCAAAUCGGGCCGCGACUGGCACCCACACUUACCCUCCUGUGUGAGCGAACCAACCAAAUCUAAACCUUAACAUUUCAAUAUAAUAUCAACAAAAGUAAUGCGGAAGACUUAAACUCAUUAAUAAAAUCAAUAACUAUUAUUAUCUCCAAAAUCUGGAAGUCAUCAUCACAAGAACAUCUAUGAUCAAAGUACUAAACUAAGAGUAUCCUAAAAAGCUAAAACAAGUAAAAGCUAGUCCAUGCCGGAACUUCAAGGCAUCAAGACAUGAAAAAGAAGAUCCAGUCCAAGCUAGAAGCAUUAGCUCACCCUGAAAUCCGGUGUAAUGAAGACUGGCUAGAGUUGCGGUUGAGUUGAAGACGAUGGCACGUCUGCUGCACUCCACAAAUAACAAAGAAGAAAACAUAAAAGUAGGGGGUCAGUACAAACACAAGUACUGAGUAGGUAUCAUCGGCCAACUCAAAAUAGAAAACAGUAUAUACCAACUAAUAUCAUAAAAUCAACUAUGAUACUCAACAUGUAGAAUUUACAAUUACCAUAACCCUUGGUUACAACACCAAGUUCAUCAAUGAGGACUUACGCCUCCUCAUCAUACUCAUUUGGGAUUUAGGUUCAUUAGAUUGAGUAUAUUAACAUCUUUCAAGAUUCAUUAUCUUUAUUUCUCUCGUGUCGAUACGUGACACUCCGCUCCUCAUAUACUAUCCUGGUGUCGGAACGUGACACUCCGAUCCUCAUAUACUAUCCUGGUACCGGAACGUGGCACCCGAUCCAUAUUCUAUCCUGGUGUCGGAACGUGACACUCUGAUCCUCAUAUACUAUCCUGGUACCGGAACGUGGCACCCGAUCCAUAUUCUAUCCUGUUGUCGGAACGUGACACUCCGAUCCUCAUAUACUAUCCUGGUACCGAAACGUGGCACCCGAUCCAUAUUCUAUCCUGGUGUCGGAACGUGAUACUCCGAUCCUCAUAUACUAUUCUGGUACUGGAACGUGGCACCCGAUCCAUAUUCUAUCCUGGUGUCGGAACGUGACACUCCGAUCCUCAUAUACUAUCCUUGUAUCGAACGUGGCACCCGAUCCUCAUAUACUAUCCUGGUACCGGAACGUGGCACCCGAUCCAUAUUCUAUCCUGGUGUCGGAACGUGACACUCCGAUCCUCAUUCUAUCCUGGUACCGGAACGUGGCACCCGAUCCCUUAAUCUCCUUCUAUCAAUUCAUCAAGCCUUCUUUCUUACCAAGGCAUCAUCAAUAUCAUUAUUUUAGUUCAUCACGCCUUCUUUUAUACCAAGGCCUCAUCAUUAACAAAGAGAUUAGGGUUUUUCAAGAUUUGGGAUUCAAUAACUUCAUCAUGCUUAUAUAAUCACAAUUAUAUAAUUACAUUCAAGCAAGCAUACAAGUAAGCACAUAGCAGGGUUUACAAUAUUAUCAAUACAUAUCAUUCGCUAUUAAGAGUUUACUACGAAUAUCGUAAGAGAAACCAUAACCUACCUCCACCGAAGAUUAGUGAUCAAGCAAGCAAUUUCCCCAAGCUUUGUUCUUCGUUUUCUCUCUGCUUCGUUCAACUUUCUCUCUCUUUCUCUUGUUCUUUCUAUUUUCUUUAUUCAAACCCUCUUUCUUUUACCCUAAUUAGUAUAUAAUUAAGAAUAAAAGAUGGCAAUAAUAACCCACUAAUUAACUUAAGGUUACCUCUUUUAACCCCCAAGUAAUUGAGUUAUUAAUAUAAACCCACGAAAUAUAUAAUUAUAGCAAGAAAUAGUCCAAAACGCCUCUUUAAAACUUAACCAGAAAUCCGACUCCGACUGGGAUUAUGCAACCUGUGACGGACCGUCAUGCCUGCGACGGUCCGUCCUGCUGCUCCGUCACAGAGUUCAGAGACUGAAAUUCUCUGAAGAGUCUGUGACGGUCCAUCACGCCUGUGACGGUCCGUCCUGCACUUUCGUCACGAAGAUCAGAGAGUCGAUUUCAGUACCCAAAUUUCAGAAUUUCUAAGUGUUUUGAAACGAGACCCCUCGACGGUCCGUCGUGGGUUCCGUCGUCUCAGCCUGUUUUUCCAGAAAUAAAAUUUGCUGCUCAAAACGACUAAACAGGUCGUUACAAAAAAUGAGUACUUGAUGAUACCUUCAAAAUUUUAAAUUUUCUUUUAAAAAAAUAAUUAAUUGUGUUAUCAAUAACUCAAUAAAGUCUAAAUAAUUGUAUGAAUCUUAUAAAGAAUUUGACCAGAGAAGGAAAACAAAAAAAGAAAAGAAAAAAAUGAAAGUGAGUUUUAAUUUGACACGAAGGGUUGUAAGGUGAAGAAAAAAGAAAGAAAAUGAAAGGAUGAAAGUGGAAGGUGGAAGAUGAAAAUAAAUUUAAGAUAUAUCAAAAUUAAAAUUCAAAAGUAAGAGAGAGAGAAAUAAAAAAAAAGAUUAAAAAAAAAUUAAUUGAAAAAAAUUAUAAUUUUAAUUAACAUGUGUCAUUUAAUGAUUGGAGUGUGAACUUACUUGCUUGUUAUAAUUUGAAGCUAAUCAAAAAAUGAUAUAAUAACAUCUGUUCAAAAUUGUUUAGUAAAGUAAUAUGACAGUCACAAAGUUAAAAUAUACGUAUAAAAAUUCGAAAAAGACAAAAUUAGGCCAAUCACUUUAUGUAUGACGCGAAAGGCAACCACUUUCACGGAUCCAUGUAUAUUGAUGAUAAGGCAUGCCAUUCCAAUUCUAUUUGUGUAUUUAUUAGCCAAAACAUUCUACAUUCUUCGUUUAAAAUUGAAUAAUCUAAUUUAACUUGGAACGAAGUUUAAGAAAGAAAAAAUAUUUUUUAAUUUUGUGAUUCUAAAUAAAAGUUACACCAAAUGUAUCAAAAUACAUUUUGAUCUUAUAGCCUUAAACAUGUUACGUAAAUAUGAUUUGAUUUUUUUCAAUUUGCUUGAUCGCUAAAACAUGACUUAAUUCUUUUGCUUCUAUAUUCACGCACGUGCUUAGCUUUCUAUACCAAGGCUGAGUGUUCGAGAAUUUGAGAAAGAAUAAAAAGUUAAUUCAACAAGAAAUAAUGAGAGUUGUUGGUAAUAUAAAUUUAUUAUUUGAAUAUACAAAGCGGUUAAAUUUUUCGAAGUUUUAAUUAAUUUUAAGGUUCUUAUUAUUAUUAGAGAGAUAAUAAAAAUGAUAAUUUUAUCUUAUUCCAAAACUUCAAUAAUAUUGUUUUCUUUUUGUAUAUAUAAAAAGAGAUUCUAAAUCUUUUGAACACAAGACUAGAGGAUUGACUCUGAAAUUUAUGAGUUCAAAAAUUUAGCAAACAACAAUGACUUUACCAAACAACAAUGACUUAACUACUGAUUGAGCAAUGCCAAGUUGCGCCACCACCCCACGGUGGCGCAGCUGAGCUAACGUUUAUUGAAAAGUUAACCACUCCAGUCUUUACCGUUUGCAUUUAACUUAAAUUAUUUUAGCUGUUUACAUUUAUUGUGUUAAUUGUAAUUUUUUUAAUUUAAACUAAUUAACUAAAAAUUGGGGGGCCCUAAAAUUGGGGACCAAUGAAUUUUUUUUAAAAACCUAACUAUCCGCCCGUGAUAUUAUGGGAUGUGAUUUCAUAUUCACUAAAAUCAUACUAUGAGAAUUUCAUAUCAUGAUUUGAGAUACUUUUAUUAUAAAAAGAUCCACAAGUUUAUGUUUUGUUAAAACAAUCUCACAUUUAUAUGUACUAACUAUUUAUUUUCGAUACGCACAACGUCUAAUAUCCAUCGUUUACGGCUAGGACUAUGGGGUAUCUAAUACCAUUCAGUCCCUUAGCUUUUGUCUCUCAGUGUCAAGUGUCGGUCCAGCAGAGUGCUUUCGUCGUUGGUGUUCUUUUCGAUUUCUACUCAUUUCACCUCUCCACGACACCUGGCGCAUUACCCCAAGGAUGUCCUAUAGUUCCUCCACCGAACUGUAGUACGGAAUCAUCGCCAAAAGAUCUCGGUCAGAGGUUCCUUAUUGUUUCAACUGCAAACUCCAAAAAAUGAUCCCUCUUUAUACUGCUUGUUAUUCGUUAGCUACUCUAAUUCUCACCCAAGUAUUCCGUUCAUUCGGACUCUCCAUUUUGGUUAGCUCGGUAGAGUGGCAAGCAUGGUGCACAUGGAAUCCCGUGUGAAUCAUCAAGGACCAACUUGCAAGGCUAAAUACUCUUUGGUGACCGAUAGCGAAGUAGUACCGUGAGGAAAGGGUGAAAAGAACCCCCAUCGGGGAGUGAGAUAGAACAUGAAACCCGCAUGGAGUAUUAUAUCCCUGUCACAAUAGGUCCUUCUCUUCCUACAGUACAGGUAGGAUCGGGAGCAACAAUGUUGGGGCAGUCAGUGUUGCGGUUGACGAUUCAACAUUUGGUGAUAAUGCUACAGUAUGAUACCAAGAAAGCUAAGUCAACCACUGUUUUAUCCAAUUAAGGAUAACAACCCGCUCAAGAAUUUUCCGUUCUCCAUCAAAUACCAAAUCUUUUGGAAAGAUUUGUAUCUACUUAGGCUUUACAGCCUCACGUAGAUGAUGAAUCAAUUUCAUUGAUAUGUCUGGCACUAUAUCUUUGUUAGUGUUGUCUGCCUAUAAUAAUAGCUGAAUCAAAAACUUUUCAUUUCAACUUAUUCUUUCAAUUGAAAUUGACCAAUCCGAGUAAUCAACCACUUUUUUUUAAUCUGCCUCAAACACCCUAACCUUACCGCCAAAAAACCGUCUGUAUAGGGCAUGAACGCUCACAUUUUUUUGCUUACUCUUCAUGAUAUUGGAAAAUCUCAUUGCUAUUACUCAAACUUGCAUUAAACAUAUGCUUGCAUAUGUAAAUAAAAUUUAUAACGACUUUUAAUAAUUUAUCAGUCUCACUGAAAUAAAAUUUAUUAUUCUCACAAAAAUGUAGUUAUUUAACACACAACAAUCGAUUGUUAAGUAAUAUUAAAGACUAGUACACCACAAUUUAUAUUCAAUAUUUUUUUUAUUGAGUUAAAGUUAGAUUAAACAAUUAAUUUGGGAAAGAACAAAUAACAAUAUAAAUAAUUUAUUAUGCAAUUUAAUAAUUUCUUAUCUAUUUGAUAAAUUGAAUAAAUAAUUGAGACUAUUUUAAUUAUUUUACAACUUUUGAAUUCGUAUGUUUGUGAAAAAAUAUAAAUACCAAAAUUUUAUAUUACAUAUCCAAAUAUAACUUUAAUUUCAUUUCAUAAUUUCAUAUCAUAAUAUUAUAUUAUAAUAUCAUAUCCGUGACCAAACAUGCCCUAAAUUUAAACUCUAAUUUAACAUGUGGAUCAUCAAGGAAUAGGACAAUUGUGCGGUACAAAUAAUCUAGUUUAACAUAUACUUUUUUCUUUUCUUUUUUCAAAUAGUAUUAAUUUUUAGACCAAAAAUAAAUAAUUUAGGCUUAAAUCAUCUGCGGCCCCUUAAAGUUGUCCACAUAAUUCACUUAGACACCUGAACUAGGACUUAUACUUAUUAAACACCUAAAUUAUCAAGAAAUGUGCCUAUUAAACACAAAACGCUGAUGUGACAAUAAAUGUAUCUCACUGCUGCUGAGCGCGUGAAUGCGUUUUUUUUAUUUUUUUUUAAAAAAAUAUUUAUACCUACUUUGUUGACACUUGGCAUGCAUUGACUAAAUAUAUUAAAAAAAUUAAUUUAAUUAAGCAUAAAUCUUUUAAAUCAUUAAAAAAAAAAACCACCCCACACUCAUCUUUCUUCAACUCAAUAUUUUAAAAACUUCAAAUUUCUCUGCCUUUUGCUAUGAUUCAUUUUUUUUUUCAUUUUCUGUAAACAAAAUACCUGCUGAAUUUUCAAGAAGAAGAAAAAAUGGACCAUUUGGAGUUAAAAAAUUGACCCAUAUCUGUACUUUUUUAUUUUCAAUAACUCCAAUUGAGCAACUAUCACCAUCAUAAACUUAUUAGAAAGCUAUAAAAUAUUUGAUAUAAUUUUAAUUUCUCUUUUCUGUCGAUUUCAAAAUAAUUUAUCAAGGUCGAUUAUAUUUACAAAAUCGAAAUAGUCGUCGAAGGAAUAACAUAUAACGAAGAAAAUGAAAGAGGAAAACAUUUGGUGGAUGAAUUCGGAAUGAGAUGGGGUUAGACAUUUUUUUUUGUUAUGCAGAGGAAUGGUGAUUGUGAAACAACAGAGAAGAAGAAGAUGAAGAAAAAAGGACAGUAAGUUAGAUGGAAUGGGAGUUAGGUGGGGGUGAGGGUGGGGAAAGAUUUUUUUUUAAUCAAUUUAAUUUUUUAUAUAUUAUUAAAGGAAGGAAAAUAUUCUUUAUUUUUUAAAGUUAAAAUAAUGGGCCCAUAUGCCACGUGUGGUAGUUUUAUUCGUAAUUUUUGUCAAGAUAACGAGUGUGCAUUACACGCACAAUAUUUUAAUUUGCUUUUUGAAAUUUGUUUACAUGAUGUUGUGGACUAAAUUUUCUAAAGAGAUCUAAAAUAUCUAGAUUUAUAAUUUCAGGUCACAAAAAACAAUAAAAAAAGACAUAGCAGAUUUGAUGUGCCUCUUGUCAUUAAUAAUUCAAUAUCAGCCAUAUGAUGACUCAAAUUAGGACAAAAGAGGCCCAUUACAACCACACAUUUUUCGAGGUCGAUUAAGAUGUCAAUAAUUUAAACUCUAAAUAAUAGAUAUACAUUAUGAUAUCUAUUGGGGAAUAUUUUUAUAUCUAUUUGAUCAUGAACUCAAUUGUUAUUAUAAUAUUAAGGGCUCCAUAUAUGUGUUGUGUGUAUUUCUUAGCCAAACAUUAUAUCAAUUAACAUGGCCACCGUGAUUGAGCAAUGUCAAGUUGCGCCACCUCCCGGCGGCGCAACGGAGGUGAUACUCCCUCUUACUUAUUUUGACCAUGUUUGGUUAGGGUUUCGCCGUAUGAGGCGGAUAUUAUUUUACAAGCUCUCCAUUUCCAAACCCGAUUUCGUUCAAAACAUUAUUCCUCCUCUUAAAAAUUCACUCUCCCUCACUCUCAAACACUAUACGCCCUUAGCCGGAAACGUUGCUUGUCCACUAGAUACAAACGGAUAUCCUGAGUUACGUUAUGUGACAGGAGAUUCUGUGUCUGUUACUUUUUUCGAGACUGAUAUGAAUUUCAAUUAUCUCAUUGGUGACCAUCCGCGUAAGGCUAAGGAUUUUUAUCACUUUGUUCCUAAGUUAGGGGAACCUAAGGAUGCACCGGGGGUCCAACUAGCCCCGCUCUUAGCCAUUCAGGUGACACUUUUUCCGAAUCUUGGUGUAUCCAUUGGUUUCACUAACCAUCAUGUUGUUGGUGAUGGAGCUACUAUAGCAGGGUUCAUUAAGGCGUGGGCUCUACUCCACAAAUUCGGUGGACAUGAACAAUUCUUAUCGAAUGAGCUAAUUCCAUUUUAUGAUAGGUCCGUAGUAAAAGACCCAUAUGGACAAGGGAUGUCCAUCUGGGAAGAAAUGAAAAGCAAGAAUCUAGAUAUGCGUGACGUUAUGACUCCUCCUCCUGAACACAAGGUUCGAGGUACAUUUACUAUUAAAAGAGAUGAAAUAGAGAAACUGAAGAAUUUUAUAUUGAACUCAAGAAGACGGGGUAGUAGUAGUACUACUCUAACUCAUGUAACAUCUUUUACUGUAACGAGUGCUUAUAUAUGGACUUGUUUGAUAAAAUCAGAGGACGCGAUAGGAGAAGAGAUGAUCAUAGAUGAUAGUGUAAUGGAAUGUUUCGGAUGUGCAGCAGAUUUUAGAGCGCGAUUCAAUCCACCACUUCCUCAAUCUUAUUUUGGGAAUUGCAUAGUUGGGUAUGUCACAAAAUCAAUAAGGCAUGUUGACUUAGUUGGAAGGGAAGGGUUUAAAAUUGCGGUAGAAUCAAUUGGAGAAGUCAUUCAAGAAAAAAUGAAGUAUGAUGAAUGGGUCCUUAAUGGUGAUUGGUUAAAAGAACUCGACAAUGUAGAUGUGAUUCGAUCGUUUUCAAUUGCUGGAUCGCCAAAACAUGACUUAUAUGCUGCUGAUUUUGGAUGGGGAAGAGCCGCAAAGUUAGAAUUUAUUUCUAUCGACAAUGAUGAUGACGGAAUUUCGAUGUCUCUUAGUAAAUCUAAAGAUUUUGAUGGAGAUUUAGAGAUUGGUUUGUGUUUGUCUAAAACUCGAAUGAAUGCUUUUGCUACUAUAUUCACUCACGGGCUUAGCUUUCUAUGCCAAGUCUGAGUACUUUUCGAGGAUUUGGCAAAGACCCCUACCCUUACAGACUCUCAUAUUCAAUUGCUUGAUAUUAGUUUUUUCUAAGCCGAAUAAUUAAUUUUUUUUUAAAUUUUGUUUAUGUAUUUUGCACCUUCAAGAGUAAUGUAUCUUCUAAAAGAAAAUGUACUGCUAUAUAUAUUAUACUUUUCUUUUUGACAAAUCUUCUUAAGGUUUAAUUAUUGGAAAAUACAUGAAGUCU